UACGGGGGGAGCAAGCGUUGUUCGGAUUUACUGGGCGUAAAGGGCGCGUAGGCGGCCACUGCAAGUCGGUUGUGAAAUCUCCGGGCUUAACCCGGAAAGGUCAAUCGAUACUGCAGGGCUAGAGUGCAGAAGGGGCAACUGGAAUUCUCGGUGUAGCGGUGAAAUGCGUAGAUAUCGAGAGGAACACCUGCGGCGAAGGCGGGUUGCUGGGCUGACACUGACGCUGAGGAGCGAAAGCGUGGGGAGCGAACAGG
RNAcentral lists this ribosomal RNA (254 nucleotides) under uncultured bacterium. Its description in RNAcentral is "partial 16S ribosomal RNA". It matches the Rfam family "Bacterial small subunit ribosomal RNA", at positions 524 to 776 of the family's 1533-position model. The record is from RNAcentral.